AGAGUUUGAUCAUGGCUCAGGAUGAACGCUGGCGGCGUGCUUAACACAUGCAAGUCGAACGAUGAAGCCCAGCUUGCUGGGUGGAUUAGUGGCGAACGGGUGAGUAACACGUGAGUAACCUGCCCUUAACUCUGGGAUAAGCCUGGGAAACUGGGUCUAAUACCGGAUAGGAGCGCCUACCGCAUGGUGGGUGUUGGAAAGAUUUAUCGGUUUUGGAUGGACUCGCGGCCUAUCAGCUUGUUGGUGAGGUAAUGGCUCACCAAGGCGACGACGGGUAGCCGGCCUGAGAGGGUGACCGGCCACACUGGGACUGAGACACGGCCCAGACUCCUACGGGAGGCAGCAGUGGGGAAUAUUGCACAAUGGGCGCAAGCCUGAUGCAGCGACGCCGCGUGAGGGAUGACGGCCUUCGGGUUGUAAACCUCUUUCAGUAGGGAAGAAGCGAAAGUGACGGUACCUGCAGAAGAAGCACCGGCUAACUACGUGCCAGCAGCCGCGGUAAUACGUAGGGUGCGAGCGUUAUCCGGAAUUAUUGGGCGUAAAGAGCUCGUAGGCGGUUUGUCGCGUCUGUCGUGAAAGUCCGGGGCUUAACCCCGGAUCUGCGGUGGGUACGGGCAGACUAGAGUGCAGUAGGGGAGACUGGAAUUCCUGGUGUAGCGGUGGAAUGCGCAGAUAUCAGGAGGAACACCGAUGGCGAAGGCAGGUCUCUGGGCUGUAACUGACGCUGAGGAGCGAAAGCAUGGGGAGCGAACAGGAUUAGAUACCCUGGUAGUCCAUGCCGUAAACGUUGGGCACUAGGUGUGGGGACCAUUCCACGGUUUCCGCGCCGCAGCUAACGCAUUAAGUGCCCCGCCUGGGGAGUACGGCCGCAAGGCUAAAACUCAAAGGAAUUGACGGGGGCCCGCACAAGCGGCGGAGCAUGCGGAUUAAUUCGAUGCAACGCGAAGAACCUUACCAAGGCUUGACAUGUUCUCGAUCGCCGUAGAGAUACGGUUUCCCCUUUGGGGCGGGUUCACAGGUGGUGCAUGGUUGUCGUCAGCUCGUGUCGUGAGAUGUUGGGUUAAGUCCCGCAACGAGCGCAACCCU
This 1086-nucleotide ribosomal RNA is filed under the name Micrococcus sp. 98TH11319. Its description in RNAcentral is "bacterial SSU rRNA". It matches the Rfam family "Bacterial small subunit ribosomal RNA", at positions 8 to 1105 of the family's 1533-position model. The record is from RNAcentral. Lineage: Bacteria; Bacillati; Actinomycetota; Actinomycetes; Micrococcales; Micrococcaceae.